AGAUAGCAUNNGCAUGGNUCUAAGUAUAAGCAAUUAUACCGUGAAACUGCGAAUGGCUCAUUAAAUCAGUUAUCGUUUAUUUGAUAGUACCUUACUACUUGGAUAACCGUGGUAAUUCUAGAGCUAAUACAUGCUAAAAACCCCAACUUCGGGAGGGGUGUAUUUAUUAGAUAAAAAACCAAUGCCCUUCGGGGCUCCUUGGUGAUUCAUAAUAACUUAACGGAUCGCAUGGCCUUGAGCCGGCGACGGUUCAUUCAAAUUUCUGCCCUAUCAACUUUCGAUGGUAAGGUAUUGGCUUACCAUGGUUUCAACGGGUAACGGGGAAUUAGGGUUCGAUUCCGGAGAGGGAGCCUGAGAAACGGCUACCACAUCCAAGGAAGGCAGCAGGCGCGCAAAUUACCCAAUCCCGACACGGGGAGGUAGUGACAAUAAAUACUGAUACAGGGCUCUUUUGGGUCUUGUAAUCGGAAUGAGUACAAUUUAAACCCCUUAACGAGGAACAAUUGGAGGGCAAGUCUGGUGCCAGCAGCCGCGGUAAUUCCAGCUCCAAUAGCGUAUAUUAAAGUUGUUGCAGUUAAAAAGCUCGUAGUUGAACCUUGGGCCUGGCUGGCCGGUCCGCCUCACCGCGUGUACUGGUCCGGCCGGGCCUUUCCUUCUGGAGAUCCUCAUGCCCUUCACUGGGUGUGUUGGGGAACCAGGACUUUUACUGUGAACAAAUUAGAGUGUUCAAAGCAGGCCUUUGCUCGAAUACAUUAGCAUGGAAUAAUAGAAUAGGACGUGCGGUCCUAUUUUGUUGGUUUCUAGGACCGCCGUAAUGAUUAAUAGGGAUAGUCGGGGGCAUCAGUAUUCAAUUGUCAGAGGUGAAAUUCUUGGAUUUAUUGAAGACUAACUACUGCGAAAGCAUUUGCCAAGGAUGUUUUCAUUAAUCAGUGAACGAAAGUUAGGGGAUCGAAGACGAUCAGAUACCGUCGUAGUCUUAACCGUAAACUAUGCCGACUAGGGAUCGGGCGAUGUUUCUAUCUUGACUCGCUCGGCACCUUACGAGAAAUCAAAGUUUUKGGKUCUGGGGGGAGUAUGGUCGCAGCUGAACUAGAGAUAUGUCUUAGCGCGAGAAA
This 1115-nucleotide ribosomal RNA is filed under the name Nigrograna kunmingensis. Its description in RNAcentral is "SSU rRNA". The record is from RNAcentral. Lineage: Eukaryota; Fungi; Ascomycota; Dothideomycetes; Pleosporales; Nigrogranaceae.